Molecule: long non-coding RNA, 331 nt
Organism: Xenia sp. Carnegie-2017
Lineage: Eukaryota; Metazoa; Cnidaria; Anthozoa; Malacalcyonacea; Xeniidae
Exons: 2
Source: RefSeq, a predicted model, not a curated record
AAUUAUAUUUUAUUGUGAACUAAACGUAAAAGUCAAUAUUACCAGGCUAACAGAGCCAUUGGAUUUAAGUUAUUUGCUUUCGACGCUCUCCCUUCUUUUAAAAAGGUCGGAUGGAUUCCACGUUGCUUGAUAAUCUUAAGAAGGCAGGGGUAAAGGACAGUGUAAUUUCUAUUCUUGAGGAUGAAGAGGUAUGUGUAUAAAAUUAAAUUUAGCACGAGUGCAUGAAUUUUUGCGUGUUGACGUUGUGACUAGACGACUUUUUGUUGCUUUUGUUAACACUGCUUGGUAAAUAUGGACUCCAUACCGAAAAAACAAUACUUGAAUUUAGUGG